GUCUUGGGUCAUGGGUCACCAUUUCCUUCACCUCUCAGUUUUUAGGAUCCUACUCUCAGUUACAUAAAAUCGGAGUGAAAUCACAGCCUGGAUAUGGCUGGGGGACAGGUCCACCCUCAGCACCUGUCCAGGGUCCAGGCACGUGAACUAGGAACAUGGACAUCUGCAAAGUGCUUCCUCUUUGGUGGCAGCGGCUCCACCUCCACCCUGCAGAUGCCCUCUGAGCUCUUCCUUGAGUUGCCAGCACCUUGGAUCUCACUCCUGCUUUUCGUCUCAUUCUAAACUUAACAAGGCUGGAGUCUAUGUUCUUGUGAAAGUCUGUGCUGACCUGGGCUGCCCUUUUAACUAAGCCUGGACAGUAAGAAUCAUCUGAGGGGUGGAAUUGUCUCACUGUGGGAUCAAGCUAACCAUGCAUGCCACAGCCUGCAUUCCCUGUCCACCACAGUGCACCAUGAGAUGCUGUGUCCAAGGCCUGCUGCAACCAAGAGGCACCAGGACGGCAGUGGCUACUCCUUUUUCCUGCCUCAUGCCCUUUGACUAGAACUUU
This 547-nucleotide long non-coding RNA is filed under the name Homo sapiens (human). RNAcentral describes it as "HSALNT0324808". Lineage: Eukaryota; Metazoa; Chordata; Mammalia; Primates; Hominidae. The record is from RNAcentral.